AUGUACAUUCCUACAACAUAGUGUUAAUGCAUUGGAUCCCAUUAGAACUCCACAGUUAAGCGUGCUCGGGUUAGAGUAGUACUGGGAUGGGUGACCGCCUGGGAAAUACUAGUAUUUUACAUG
Picea glauca (white spruce) is the source of this 123-nucleotide non-coding RNA. NCBI's taxonomy places the organism in Eukaryota, Viridiplantae, Streptophyta, Pinopsida, Pinales, Pinaceae. The record is from Rfam.